RNAcentral lists this long non-coding RNA (1356 nucleotides) under Anser cygnoides (Swan goose). RNAcentral describes it as "lncRNA (ENSACDG00005014816.1)". The record is from RNAcentral. Lineage: Eukaryota; Metazoa; Chordata; Aves; Anseriformes; Anatidae.
ACAAAUUCUUAAAAUCACACGUGCACCACCUAAAUCAGGGCCUGAAAGACUUUCAUUUUCAGUGAGUGUGCAGAAUGUGUCCCUUGGCAGGCUGAUGGGGAGGGGUGAGCUGGAGCUCCCUGUGUGCAUACCACUGUCACAGGGGCAUCGUCAGAAAUGUCAAAUUCCAGCAACCCCCGUGCAGUCCCUCAGGCCUUGAAGAUUUCUUUAUCCAACACGGACUCUUCUUUUUUUUUUUUUUGAGGGUCUGUCACGGAGAUUUAUGAAUCUGAUCUAUUGGGCAGCAGCCAAGUACUCUGUGGUAAUUAUUCUGAGAUAAAACUUUGUAUUAGCUGCAGCCUGUCUGCUCUGGGUGUGACAGAGCUAUUCUCCCAUUUCUUCAAGUUUGCCACCUGGGAAGCUUUUUUCAGCAAUAAAUAGUCAUGAGCUGCUAUUCUGGAUGCAUGUGGUUGGUUUCAGAGCUGUGUGACAGGUUAAAAACAAAUAAAAAUAACCUUUCGUCUCAAAGAACAUGUUUCUGAUCUCUGCUGGCUCUCGGCGAGGGGGAGCGGGAGCGAGAGGGGCCGGCGGGGCUGGGAGAGCCCCAACUCUCCGUGCGCUCAAGUCAGCAGCUCCAUCUCUCUCUCUCUCUCUCUCUUUUUGAUGCUAUACUGUAAAUUUAUUUCACCUCGGAGAGUAAACAGAUAUAUUGCAACCCCAAGGGUUCAUGGGUAGUGUAUUUACAAAGGGAAGGCGCAGCAAGCCCCCUCUGUGCCAUUUCCAUUAAUGAGAGCGGUCAUUAAGUAAAUGAGACAUUGCCUUUAGCAGGCUUAAGAGUUCACACACUAAGGAGUAUCAGAUAUUUAAUUGAAACCAACAACCCGUCUUACACGCGUGUUACUGGUGUAGGGAAGUGGGCUGCCCUCCAAGAACUCUCCCCCCACAACCUCCCCCAUGCAAAUUUCAUGAUUGGUUUCCGUGAUGUCAUUUUGCAAAGGGGCAGACAAUAGCUGUGGGGAAAGGUAAGUCAAUAUUAUGUUCUUUCGCUGACAAAGGCAGAUAAUGCUGGCUUUUUUCUUUUUUUUUUUCCUUUUCCUCUUUUUUUUUUUUUUCCUCCCUUGGAUUGAGACAGAGGGGAAAGGCUUUCGGAGCACACAGUUGAUGUAAACAGACGCAGGCGUUUCGCUUUUAGAGCACGAAGGCUGGGUUGUUGUUUUGAAAAUUGCACUGGAGAACCGAGGGGAUUUUUAUGAUGAUCAUCAUGCUCCUAGGUCCAUCUUUGCUCGCUCGCUCUCUCGCUGGCUGCGAGACGCUAGUGGACAUAUUCUGCUUCUGACUGAAAAGAGCUUGAAUAAGACGAGGAAGGAGGAGAUUUAA